Cylas formicarius (sweet potato weevil) is the source of this 523-nucleotide long non-coding RNA. RefSeq lists it as uncharacterized. The transcript is spliced from 3 exons. The record is from RefSeq and is a predicted model, not a curated record. NCBI's taxonomy places the organism in Eukaryota, Metazoa, Arthropoda, Insecta, Coleoptera, Brentidae.
CUAGAAUAUUUGCCUAGAGUUGUGGGAGUAGAACAAGAACAAAAGCUCUCAACAAACAACUGGUUUUCCAUGACGACUUUAGGUGUUGUACACGCAAAAGGUGUAAUGAAACGAGGUUGUAUGUUAAUAAAUAAUAUAUGUAUAUUCAAGUUAUUGGAAAAAAGACAUCUGAGAUGCCCCGGAACAAAAUAUCAAGCAUCAGGAAAGGUUGAAGAGAAUGGUGUAUUCAUUUUAACUAAGGGGCAAGGACAAGACAAUCACCAACACUUGGAGUACUAAAUAAUUUUAAGAGUUGCUUGAGGGAGGCAUAUAUAAGACAGAAAGCAGAGCAAAAGAACAUGUACAACUUCCUUGAGAAAAGAAAUGCAAAAGAUGUAGUACGUACCUCUACGCAGAGGCAAUCAAAUAAUCCUGUAGAACUAGAAAAUAUGGCGAGAGUCCUGGGAGCAAGGGAGUGGUUAUACAGUGUGGCAGAAAAGCUUGGCAUCGGCCAUUUUGCUCUCAAGGCCCGAAAGGAUUCAAA